RNAcentral lists this transfer RNA (90 nucleotides) under alpha proteobacterium BAL199. Its description in RNAcentral is "tRNA-Ser". It matches the Rfam family "tRNA". Rfam says of the family: Transfer RNA (tRNA) molecules are approximately 80 nucleotides in length. Their secondary structure includes four short double-helical elements and three loops (D, anti-codon, and T loops). RNAcentral also lists the same sequence under 2 other names. The record is from RNAcentral. Lineage: Bacteria; Pseudomonadati; Pseudomonadota; Alphaproteobacteria.
GGACGGGUGGCCGAGUGGUUUAAGGCAGCGGUCUUGAAAACCGCCGGGGGUGCAAGCCUCCCGUGGGUUCGAAUCCCACCCCGUCCGCCA